GUUGAAAAGAGAAUCAUGAAAUGCAAUUAAAUGUUAUUUGUUUCAUAUUAUAGAGGAUUUAUUUAAAUAUCACUGCUCUCUCAUGAAAUAUGGUCGACGGGAUAAUGCACAAAACACAGAAAAAUGCGAGAAAACACAUACAAAUUAAGAAAAUAACAUUGCAGAUUGCAAAAUACACACAAACAAAUAAACCCAUGCAGAUAUAAAAAACUUAAAUUAGUUGAAAUUGAAACACUGGACUCUCCUUCCAGUACAGAGAACUGAACAGGUUAUAACACUUCAACCUAAACUCAUGUUCACAUCACAUAAACUCUGUGACUGCAACUACAAAUAAAAUGUAAACAUCCAAAAAGUUCUGGUUUAUUUUGACAUUUAUUCUUCAACAAAUCCACUUGUGCUCUUUUCCUUUCAGGAAAAAUAUUCAACAUACUGUACUGUGUCUCCACCUGCAUAGCUACUCUCUCUUGUGGUUUUUACUUCAGCGCUGAAGUUGAAUGUUGACAUUGUGUUCUUGUAGGAAUUGGAGGAGUUUAAACGCAUGCAGGUUGUUUCGGACAUGUGCGCAUUGUGUUCCAGUGUUGCUUCAGUUUGCACAAAUAUUGCAUCGUCGGGGCACAUAUAAAAGAUGCACACACACACUUAGCAUCCCCUUCUCACAGAAAAGGAUCUAUUGGACAUCAUUCAAUAACACCAUUUUAAAAGGUCGAGUUUCCUCUCAAGCCAAAAUUCAUCACAGCAUUCCGUUAUUGCAUUCACUGAUGUCUUUCUGUCAUCAUGUGCACUUCCACUCUUCCCAAAAACGAUGUAAUCUUUCUUCCAGAUAAGUCUGAAGUGGUCGAGCAGAGAUGUGCGUCACUGUCAUUUUUUCCCUUUUUAUUUUCUUGAGGAUUAGCUCAUACUUUGAACAAUCCUCUGAUGGCUUUUCAGUUAGCGCCCUUUGCCAUGUUUCCCACUGGGAUAGUUGUUUCCAGAGGACAAAUGUGCCAUUAGAUGUUACUGUAUUCAGUUAAACACAUUUUUUUUUCUUGUUAUCCUUAUUCUAGCCACAAACUUGACCAAAAAAAUGACUGCCCAGUUUGGCACAUGUAUGGGGAAAUAAAAACCAUUGCGGGGCACACAAACCUAUUUUUAAAAAAAGAUAUGCGACAAAUAACAACGGCAAAAAUCUGCGCCUGUUCUUACUAACCCCGCCGACAAUCGUGCGUCUCGUUCCUGAACUCGUUCUCUGCUGUAGUACCGAGACUGACCUGCAGGAGAAAGCACAGUGUCCCAGCUCCUCCAGACUGCCGGCAAAUACAAAAAAAGAAGAAAUAGAAGCAGCUAGGCUAAAUAUUUACUUAUCUUGUACUAUAACUGCGUUAUGAUUGUAAACUCUUCUCGUUGCCAUUUUUAUUCUGGGCACAUGCAGGGAGCGCCCACAAACACGUGGGGGUGACCUCAUCGUCAUCUUUCGGAUAGUGGAUCUCCAGCACAGAGUUGAUCUCUGACAGUUCCAAGGGUCGAGCAACGGAGACUCCAUCUGGCCAGUACACUUCCACAUUUGUGGCCACAUCCUUACCUUAGAUAUAUGGGCAAGCACAGACCAUAUGUUAACCCUCAAUUGCCGUUGAUAGCCACAUAUCUUUUCUAUAGUAAUGGUUUGACAAUGUCAAAAUGGCAGAUUUUUGCAUAGUCCUGUAUUGUGUGUCCAUGUAAAGCCAAAUUUUUAGCGCAGGGUUAUUCCUCUUUACCAAGAAUCUUAAUUCAAGUGGCAUUUGUCAUGUAAACACAGGUUAUUUUGUCAGGCAGCGAUCUAGCCAGCAGGGGUGCCUUGAAAUAUUUCAGCUUUACUUGCUCCCAUAUGUCACUCUGUGGUUGAGAGGUGGUGAGUGACUGAUGCCUUGAGCAAGUGUGCAGCUCUCUUGUGAGGUCAGGAUGGUGCCAAAAGUUUGCUUGUAUGUAUUUUCGGCCUUACAGGAGAGGCCUUGGAGAGACGAUCUGGUCUUGGGUGGGCCGAACCGGGAGCCAGUUUGUCACAAGGCAGGCUAGUUUCCAGCGCCAGCACCUGUCCCCCCCACCAAUCCCUCGCAGAGAUACCUCACUCUCCCUCGGGUGUCCAAUCACACCAAAGAAUCGCUGCUGAAUAGGAUGUCUUUGCAGAAAAGACAUUUAUGAGGCGCGGCCAUUUGCAUCCAUCUCUGCAGCCUGUGAGGGAUUCAUCGCCGCUUCAUUGGUUAGAAGCAAGCUUGCCAAAGCAUCUCCAUCAGUGGCGCUCUGUCCAAUCUCAUCCAUUAUCAUCACAUGAAUUUGACUGUGGAAUCAGGACGCGGCGUCGCAUUAUGUUUGCAUCACUGGAUGUGGCAUCGCAAGUGAAGUCCAAGCUGCCUCCGGGUAUCACUGUCGUGUUCUCCAUGUUAACCUCGAUUGACAACCUGCCACAAGUACAAGUGCACGUCCACAUGUUGUCAGCUAAUGCUGAGUGACGGGCCUUCAUUUGCUUUCAGACUAUUCGGAUAAUUCGCCGAGGAUUUUGUUCAAUGGAUUUGAAAAGUUGACCUUUGGAGAAUGGAUGGAUGGAUGAAAUGUGUCAGGUUAGGGGGGAAAGAAAGUACUUUUUGGUGAAACGCUUUGCAAUCAAACGACGACAGUGGGACCUCCGGAUCGAAUGCCUCUUAGGUACAAUCGAAGGGAAAUGUUCGAGGAAAAAUAGAAGUUCUUCAAAUCGGGCGUGCAGCUCUUCAAACUUCAGCUCGCUAAGACAGCGGUUUCCUUUUUCUUUGUGUGUUUUGCGUUGCCAAAUCAAGAAGACGACUGGCAAAAAAAUGUGAUGAGAAAGAACAUUAAAGAGAACUCGUUCUGACUUCUGUCCUCGCUGCUCCAAUAUGGCGAACCCGUCAAUAAAUCAGCAAUUAAAAUAAACGAAGAAGAUAUGUCAAUUCAAAUGUUUACAUUUAGCCUAGCAUGAUCAAAAUCAACAGCAUUAUUUCUUUUUUAUUUUGGGGGGGGGGGUAUUCACAGUGGUGGACUCAUAAUUGGUACCGUUUCCAGUUUCAAAUCUGAGCUCCUGUGUGGAGUUGACGUGUUUCUUCGUAUUUCUCUUAUUUCAUAUAGAAAAAAGUGUUUCUUGAUUGUUUAUCUGAACUUGCUGUAAGAACUUCAUAUCAGGUCACUCUGUUUUUUGUUUUGUUUUGUGAAUUCUCUCUUAGAGGAGGAGAGUGGGGUAUCAAUCCAAUGCAUUAGGACUCGGGUCUCUUUAAUGACAGUCGCCGCCUCCUGGCUGAUGUAAAGCAAACUUGUGCUUUUGGGAGAUGAAGAAGCCUGUCCAGCCACCUCAGGCCAGUCACCCUCCCCCUGUGAUUCUCCACCU
This is a long non-coding RNA of Hippocampus comes (tiger tail seahorse), 3346 nucleotides long. RefSeq lists it as uncharacterized. NCBI's taxonomy places the organism in Eukaryota, Metazoa, Chordata, Actinopteri, Syngnathiformes, Syngnathidae. The transcript has 5 exons. The record is from RefSeq and is a predicted model, not a curated record.